UACGUAGGUGGCAAGCGUUGUCCGGAUUUACUGGGCGUAAAGAGCGCGCAGGCGGUCGUUCAAGUCGCGUGUGAAAGCCCCCGGCUUAACUGGGGAGGGUCACGCGAUACUGGUCGACUCGAAGGCAGGAGAGGGUAGUGGAAUUCCCGGUGUAGUGGUGAAAUGCGUAGAUAUCGGGAGGAACACCGGUGGCGAAGGCGACUACCUGGCCUGUUUCUUGACGCUGAGGCGCGAAAGCUAGGGGAGCAAACGGG
RNAcentral lists this ribosomal RNA (254 nucleotides) under uncultured bacterium. Its description in RNAcentral is "partial 16S ribosomal RNA". It matches the Rfam family "Bacterial small subunit ribosomal RNA", at positions 524 to 776 of the family's 1533-position model. The record is from RNAcentral.